CGGGACUGAUUAUUUUGUGACUGAGUGGCGGACGGGUGAGUAACGCGUGGGUAACCUGCCUUGUACAGGGGGAUAACAGUUGGAAACGGCUGCUAAUACCGCAUAAGCGCACAGCAUCGCAUGAUGCAGUGUGAAAAACUCCGGUGGUAUAAGAUGGACCCGCGUUGGAUUAGCUAGUUGGUGAGGUAACGGCCCACCAAGGCGACGAUCCAUAGCCGACCUGAGAGGGUGACCGGCCAC
Molecule: ribosomal RNA, 240 nt
Filed under: Agathobacter rectalis
Lineage: Bacteria; Bacillati; Bacillota; Clostridia; Lachnospirales; Lachnospiraceae
Description: partial 16S ribosomal RNA
Rfam family: Bacterial small subunit ribosomal RNA
Source: RNAcentral